GGAACUUGAGCUACAUAAUGUCUCAACAUUUGGAGAUGACUGGUUAAACUGCUUAUGCAGUGCUAUUUUUCAAUAAGGCCUCGUCUGGACUGUUUUACGCCUGUUAUGGUUACUCAAACAAGGCAACGGUGCCUCCUUUUAACUCAGUCAAAUCGUGUUGUACGCUAUGCCUCCUGUUUGCUUUCAAUCAGGAGAGCAGAGAACUAUUGACAAUGGAGAAAGACUCACAGAGUAACGAGAGAGGGCCAUCAUCUUCAGAUUUUAUUCAGUAAUGUUGUGGAGCUCUAAUGUUGUAUCUUCAAGACUUCAACUAUUCAAAUCUUUAAUCUAUUUCCCCAUUUAGGAUACUUUGCAACCUCCGCAGUAUGUAGCAACUCCCAUAGGGUGCUUUUCAGUCUAUUGAGGAACUUGAGCUACAUAAUGUCUCAACAUUUGGAGAUUCAGCACAAGGUGGGAAUCUCCCAGACCACGAUCUGUGUUGGCAAGCAGCUGAGGAUGACAGCAUCCGUGGGGAGUAGAAUGACCACCCUUCAUCUCCAUGAUGGAAUGCGAUUUUUUUGAGGAUAUACAUUGUAUAUGAAGUUGAGAGAUUGAUACAAUCCACAGAGGAAAGAAAAUCUCAUACAUGCCGAAGGUACAUCUGAGACCUUCCUUCUAAAGUCCGCCAGAUCAGGGGAAGUUUGUAUUUGCAGUGAAGCAGCUGAGAAUGGAAGGAUCUUUUUCAUGGAGACCUUUGCCGGCAUACCAUCCAGAAGAUAUCAACUCUGUAUCUUGGCAGCCGUCUCCAUUGUGGUUUUUUAAACUGUUAUUGGAUGUCGCUGUCUUCUCAUGUCAGUCGUUUCUGUCCAUCUGAUUGUGUGUUGCUUUUCAUGAUGUGCUCUGUCCAGUAGGAACCUAGAAUGAAUUUUCUCAUGGUUCUGUUCAUUACGGCAUGAGUGAUUCUGUGUUGUGGACAAGCAAGAGGAUGCAUAUCUUUAAUGCCAAAUAUCUUUGUUCUUUUGGUGAUGGUGAAUUUAUCUGGCUCCCUCCUUUCCCUACUGUUGCCGUAAAUCUACAUAACCUAUGAUGCCACCUAGAAGACAGAUGCAUAUCUGGUCAGUUCUGUUAUUGUCAGAAAGAAGUUGCUAGUCACUCCUGGUAUAUUUAUUUGCGU
This is a long non-coding RNA of Solanum stenotomum, 1153 nucleotides long. RefSeq lists it as uncharacterized. Lineage: Eukaryota; Viridiplantae; Streptophyta; Magnoliopsida; Solanales; Solanaceae. The record is from RefSeq and is a predicted model, not a curated record. The transcript has 3 exons.